CCUACGGGUGGCUGCAGUGGGGAAUAUUGGACAAUGGGCGAAAGCCUGAUCCAGCCAUGCCGCGUGUGUGAAGAAGGCCUUCGGGUUGUAAAGCACUUUCAGUGGGGAAGAAAGCCUUGGGGCUAAUACCCUCGAGGAAGGACAUCACCCACAGAAGAAGCACCGGCUAACUCCGUGCCAGCAGCCGCGGUAAUACGGAGGGUGCGAGCGUUAAUCGGAAUUACUGGGCGUAAAGCGCGCGUAGGCGGUCUGAUAAGCCGGUUGUGAAAGCCCCGGGCUCAACCUGGGAACGGCAUCCGGAACUGUCAGGCUAGAGUGCAGGAGAGGAAGGUAGAAUUCCCGGUGUAGCGGUGAAAUGCGUAGAGAUCGGGAGGAAUACCAGUGGCGAAGGCGGCCUUCUGGACUGACACUGACGCUGAGGUGCGAAAGCGUGUGUAGCAAACAGGAUUAGAUACCCGGGUAGUC
Molecule: ribosomal RNA, 465 nt
Filed under: Vreelandella stevensii
Lineage: Bacteria; Pseudomonadati; Pseudomonadota; Gammaproteobacteria; Oceanospirillales; Halomonadaceae
Description: partial 16S ribosomal RNA
Rfam family: Bacterial small subunit ribosomal RNA
Source: RNAcentral